This 71-nucleotide transfer RNA is filed under the name Phenylobacterium sp. SCN 70-31. RNAcentral describes it as "tRNA-Arg". The record is from RNAcentral. Lineage: Bacteria; Pseudomonadati; Pseudomonadota; Alphaproteobacteria; Caulobacterales; Caulobacteraceae.
GCACCCGUAGCUCAGCUGGAUAGAGCGUUGCCCUCCGAAGGCAACGCUAAGUCAAGUGCGAUUUGGGUGAG